This 1072-nucleotide long non-coding RNA is filed under the name Olea europaea (common olive). RNAcentral describes it as "long non-coding RNA (OEUR_LNC002927)". Lineage: Eukaryota; Viridiplantae; Streptophyta; Magnoliopsida; Lamiales; Oleaceae. The record is from RNAcentral.
AAACUUUUAUAUAUACAUUCAUAUACUUUAUUAUCAUAAAUUUGUCAAAUACAACAAGCUUAGAGAAACCCAGCUGUCAAGAUUAUGAAAUUGGAAGGCUUUAAACUUCAAAUCCCUAUGAACGAUUGAAUUCUAGUGACACGCUAUCCAGGCUAGAUGGCACAUAAUUCAUACAAUCCACCACCUAAACUCCCAAAAUUCAGCCCCUUUCCCACAUUUCUUCGAAAUCAUUAUCUCAAUCCUGAAAUUGGUGGGCUUUACUUGAGUUAGAGCACAACAUCCUCAUCCUCGCUCCAGAAAUACUCAGGACCAUUGGUGGCAGUGAAGUUGGAGGUAGUACAUGACAGCGAAGUUGUGGCAACCACGGUUAAGGGAAAGAGAGGCAGAGAUGAACCUACGCAGUGCAAUCGCCAUUGCUUAUUUUCUCUUAAAGACUCGGAGGGGCCUUCCAAUCGUCAAAAGAACCAUCUCCGCCACCACCACUGUAGCAAGAAAGAGACCUCAGGACCAUUGGUGGCAGUGAAGUUGGAGGUAGUACAUGACAGCGAAGUUGUGGCAACCACGGUUAAGGGAAAGAGAGGCAGAGAUGAACCUACGCAGUGCAAUCGCCAUUGCUUAUUUUCUCUUAAAGACUCGGAGGGGCCUUCCAAUCGUCAAAAGCACCAUCUCCGCCACCACCACUGUAGCAAGAAAGAGAUAGAGAAAACGUAUAAGAAAGCAUGUAAAGAACUGGAAGAAUGAGGAAUUGAUCAAAUUUAGGUCAAAGAAAGAAAAUUGGAGAUGAUGUUAAGAAAAAUGGAGAUGAGGGUGUAGUGGUUGAGGUUCUGGUGUUGACUGGAGAGGGAUCUGCAGAUGUUAAUUAUGACGUGGAAGAAGGAAAUGAACAUAUUAAAUACGGUAGGGGAAUGUUUUAAUCUUUGUAGGUAUAAAUCUAAUUUGUUAUUUUUUAAAAGUAAUGGGCCUAAUUUCCUCUUUUUCAAACUCUAGCAACUGGAGAUGAGGGUGUAGUGGUUGAGGUUCUGGUGUUGACUGGAGAGGGAUCUGCAGAUGUUAAUUAUGACGUGGAAGAAGG